ACGAAAAAGAGAUUCAAGCAAGAAAUCCUAAUUUUAGGGUUCUUCAGAAAGGAAAGAAACUAAGGAAAAGAAGAGGACAUUGCAGAGAAAUAGAGAAGGAAGGAAGAAAGAAAUAUAGAGUGAAAAAUAUGGAUUUCAAGAAAGAAAGAAAGGAAGGAUGGAGAAGAAGAGAAUUUCAAGAAAAAAGGAGAACGAGAAAGAAGAGGGGGGAAUGAAUGAAUGAAGGACAGAAGAACUAAAGGACUGAAGAAGAAACCUGGAAUUUAGGAUGAAAGACUCUGAUCUGAACUUGUUUGUGACAACAACAAUUUCAUUUGGAAGCAAAG
Molecule: unclassified non-coding RNA, 326 nt
Filed under: Hevea brasiliensis (rubber tree)
Lineage: Eukaryota; Viridiplantae; Streptophyta; Magnoliopsida; Malpighiales; Euphorbiaceae
Source: RNAcentral